UCGGCUUCGUAUGCGAGCGAUUACGGGUGAUUAAACCCGUAAUUGGGUGAACGUAGGAGAGAAACUUCGGUGAGGGCUCAGCGAAGUUGGUCCUGAUAGUUCUCGGAUCGAUCCUAGUAAUGUGCAUAUGGGGCCGG
RNAcentral lists this ribosomal RNA (137 nucleotides) under Ixodes persulcatus (taiga tick). RNAcentral describes it as "partial 28S ribosomal RNA". The record is from RNAcentral. Lineage: Eukaryota; Metazoa; Arthropoda; Arachnida; Ixodida; Ixodidae.